Molecule: ribosomal RNA, 253 nt
Filed under: uncultured bacterium
Lineage: Bacteria
Description: partial 16S ribosomal RNA
Rfam family: Bacterial small subunit ribosomal RNA
Source: RNAcentral
UACAGAGGUGGCAAGCGUUGUUCGGAAUUACUGGGCGUAAAGGGCGCGUAGGCGGCCUUCUAAGUCAGACGUGAAAUCCCUCAGCUUAACUGGGGAACUGCGUCUGAGACUGGCGAGCUUGAGGGCAGGAGAGGAACGCGGAAUUCCAGGUGUAGCGGUGAAAUGCGUAGAUAUCUGGAGGAACACCGGUGGCGAAGGCGGCGUUCUGGACUGCAUCUGACACUGAAAGACGAAAGCCAGGGGAGCAAACGGG